RNAcentral lists this ribosomal RNA (253 nucleotides) under uncultured bacterium. RNAcentral's name for it is "partial 16S ribosomal RNA". It matches the Rfam family "Bacterial small subunit ribosomal RNA", at positions 524 to 776 of the family's 1533-position model. The record is from RNAcentral.
UACGUAGGCAGCAAGCGUUGUUCGGAAUUACUGGGCGUAAAGAGCGCGUAGGCGGCUCGUUAAGUGUAGAGUGAAAUCUCUGGGCUCACCCCAGAAACUGCUCUGCAUACUGGCGAGCUAGAGGGUCGAAGAGGUAUGUGGAAUUCCUGGUGUAGCGGUGAAAUGCGUUGAUAUCAGGAGGAACACCGGUGGCGAAGGCGGCAUCCUGGACCAAUACUGACGCUGAGGAGCGAAAGCCAGGGGAGCAAACGGG